Non-coding RNA from Periophthalmus magnuspinnatus, 558 nucleotides. The record is from the annotation of a RefSeq genome assembly. NCBI's taxonomy places the organism in Eukaryota, Metazoa, Chordata, Actinopteri, Gobiiformes, Gobiidae.
AUGGUGCGUUCACUGACACAUUGUGUGGAGGAGAACAGAGCAGAGGUUUUUGUACGGCCUCUUCAUGACUUUGUAUCACUGUGGUGGACGUUCGGAGGAGGAACACAAGUCAUCGUCCACAGUGGCCCGGUGCGCCCCCCCUCUGUCUCGCUCCUGGGCCCCUCUCUGCAGCAGCUCUCUGGGGGGAGGCUCUCUCUGCUCUGCCUGCUCAGCGCCUACUCUCCACAGGGCGCCCGUGUGAGCUGGGAGGUGGACGGACAGGAGCUCACAGACACAGGGGCGGCUCAGAGCAGUGUGGAGCAGGAGAAGAGCGGCCUGUACAGCAGCAGCAGCCUCCUGAGCCUGACUGAGGACAGCUGGCUGCAGGGACAGCUGUUCUCCUGCAGGGUGAGCCACCACGGACACACCCAGGUCCAGUCACUGCAGAGGAGCCAGUGCUUAGAGCUGCAUGGGCCCUGAACAUGGACCCCACCGACAACUGCAAUAAGAGUUAGAUGUAGAGUGUGGCUUAUGGUCAGAGCAGGGAGAGGUAAUAAAGCUUGUGUUACAUGAUAAGAA